AGAGUUUGAUCAUGGCUCAGAUUGAACGCUGGCGGCAGGCCUAACACAUGCAAGUCGAACGGUAACAGGAAACAGCUUGCUGUUUCGCUGACGAGUGGCGGACGGGUGAGUAAUGUCUGGGAAACUGCCUGAUGGAGGGGGAUAACUACUGGAAACGGUAGCUAAUACCGCAUAACGUCGCAAGACCAAAGAGGGGGACCCUCGGGCCUCUUGCCAUCGGAUGUGCCCAGAUGGGAUUAGCUUGUUGGUGGGGUAACGGCUCACCAAGGCGACGAUCCCUAGCUGGUCUGAGAGGAUGACCAGCCACACUGGAACUGAGACACGGUCCAGACUCCUACGGGAGGCAGCAGUGGGGAAUAUUGCACAAUGGGCGCAAGCCUGAUGCAGCCAUGCCGCGUGUAUGAAGAAGGCCUUCGGGUCGUAAAGUACUUUCAGCGGGGAGGAAGGGAGUAAAGUUAAUACCUUUGCUCAUUGACGUUACCCGCAGAAGAAGCACCGGCUAACUCCGUGCCAGCAGCCGCGGUAAUACGGAGGGUGCAAGCGUUAAUCGGAAUUACUGGGCGUAAAGCGCACGCAGGCGGUUUGUUAAGUCAGAUGUGAAAUCCCCGGGCUCAACCUGGGAACUGCAUCUGAUACUGGCAAGCUUGAGUCUCGUAGAGGGGGGUAGAAUUCCAGGUGUAGCGGUGAAAUGCGUAGAGAUCUGGAGGAAUACCGGUGGCGAAGGCGGCCCCCCUGGACGAAGACUGACGCUCAGGUGCGAAAGCGUGGGGAGCAAACAGGAUUAGAUACCCUGGUAGUCCACGCCGUAAACGAUGUCGACUUGGAGGUUGUGCCCUUGAGGCGUGGCUUCCGGAGCUAACGCGUUAAGUCGACCGCCUGGGGAGUACGGCCGCAAGGUUAAAACUCAAAUGAAUUGACGGGGGCCCGCACAAGCGGUGGAGCAUGUGGUUUAAUUCGAUGCAACGCGAAGAACCUUACCUGGUCUUGACAUCCACGGAAGUUUUCAGAGAUGAGAAUGUGCCUUCGGGAACCGUGAGACAGGUGCUGCAUGGCUGUCGUCAGCUCGUGUUGUGAAAUGUUGGGUUAAGUCCCGCAACGAGCGCAACCCUUAUCCUUUGUUGCCAGCGGUCCGGCCGGGAACUCAAAGGAGACUGUUAGUGAUAAACUGGAGGAAGGUGGGGAUGACGUCAAGUCAUCAUGGCCCUUACGACCAGGGCUACACACGUGCUACAAUGGCGCAUACAAAGAGAAGCGACCUCGCGAGAGCAAGCGGACCUCAUAAAGUGCGUCGUAGUCCGGAUUGGAGUCUGCAACUCGACUCCAUGAAGUCGGAAUCGCUAGUAAUCGUGGAUCAGAAUGCCACGGUGAAUACGUUCCCGGGCCUUGUACACACCGCCCGUCACACCAUGGGAGUGGGUUGCAAAAGAAGUAGGUAGCUUAACCUUCGGGAGGGCGCUUACCACUUUGUGAUUCAUGACUGGGGUGAAGUCGUAACAAGGUAGCCGUA
Molecule: ribosomal RNA, 1507 nt
Filed under: uncultured bacterium
Lineage: Bacteria
Description: bacterial SSU rRNA
Rfam family: Bacterial small subunit ribosomal RNA
Source: RNAcentral